UAUGCUUCUCGAUCACUUUUGCAUCUUCUUGAAGACCUCGAAUAAGGCCACCGUGAGCCAAAGAUUUUCUGAGGAGUAGCUGCAAUGCAGUCAUUAAGUACAUGGCCUCACCGAGAGGAGCAGGUGUCUCAACAGCAACGAGACAAUGAGGAGAUGGAGACGACGUCAGCUGCUGCUUCGGGUGCUAUUUGAAGCGGGCAACUGUUUACUAGAUAUUAGGGUUGGUUUGGUGUCUGAUUUUCCGGAACAUUUGAUGCGGGCAAGGUCUCCAGAUGGUCUAACUUCCUGGUAGCCCAAUUGAAGAUGAAACCAGAUUUUCUAGGGUUGAAAAAAGAACCGGAAAGGAAAUUUCACCAACCUUGUAUAGCCAAUUAGGGUUUCUUCACUCCUUUUCGUUUUUUAUUUUAUGUGAAUUCUCUGAACUCACAUUGGCAAGCUUAUCUUGUAGUCUUUGAUUCAGUGCAUUGGUCUAAAUUUAAGAUUC
Long non-coding RNA from Manihot esculenta (cassava), 484 nucleotides. RefSeq lists it as uncharacterized. The record is from RefSeq and is a predicted model, not a curated record. The transcript has 2 exons. NCBI's taxonomy places the organism in Eukaryota, Viridiplantae, Streptophyta, Magnoliopsida, Malpighiales, Euphorbiaceae.